AGGAAAGAAGAGGGACAGGGAAGCUAGGGCGACUGAGGAUACGCCGAGGUCUAGUCCGGCUUGGCAGCGCGAGCUAGAGAGCUUUGCGAGCCGCGGGGCUGGGAAGUCAGGGCAUAGGGGCCAGGCCUGCCCUCUGGUGCUUUCGGCUCCUCGGGCCCCCGACUUUAAAGUGCUCAAGUUGGGGUCGGCGCCAUCAUGACGCCUGAGACUGUGAGAAGAAAAAGUUACAAGUGAUAGAAGAACUAACCCACUCAGGAGCCCAAAGAAAGGAACAGAACUUCUAGUGUGAGAUGCUGAGACUGCCUCACUGUGAAAGAUGUUCCCUGUCCAUUCUGAUAAGAGGGGAACUGCACAGCUUGGAUUGAUUCAUGUCUCUUGCUUGGAUCCUUCAACAUCUGACUACAGUGCAGGAAAUAUGACAGGACAGCAUGAGCCGGAAUCAACUGUAUCAUCGGAAUAUGUAUUUUAGCAACUGACUCUCUUAUGAAAGCAACAGUAAAUUAACAGUGUUCCAGGGUCAAACAACUCAAGAUUCUGUCAGUAAUUAGUUGUUGUGUUGUAUUCAUUAACUUGACUAUCCUGAAGAUUACCAUGACAGCUGGAUUCUGAGUGAGUUCUUCAGGUUGCUUGAGGAAAGACUAACAUCUGAGUCAGUGAGCAUUAUGUCUGACUCUUGGAUAUCAUCUGUAACCCUAUUCCAUUGACAGUGAAUAACACUGAAUUCAAUUAAAAUCUGACCCAAACAAUAAGGAGCCUAAAAGUUACUGGCUGUCUACAUGAAAAACAAAUUAGGAACUCAGUAGGAAAAGACACUUGCCUCCUAACCUGACCACCAGGGUUCUAUCCCCUAGACCAGCAUGGUUGAAGAGAAGACAAAUUCCCAUAAGGUCUCCUCUGGCUUCCACACUGUCCUCAGGGUCUGCAUCUGGCCACACAUACACACAUUACCUAAUUCAAUCUUUCAUUAAUAAAGUUCCAAUAAAAGAAGUAAGCAA
RNAcentral lists this long non-coding RNA (995 nucleotides) under Mus caroli (Ryukyu mouse). RNAcentral's name for it is "lncRNA (MGP_CAROLIEiJ_G0005800.1)". Lineage: Eukaryota; Metazoa; Chordata; Mammalia; Rodentia; Muridae. The record is from RNAcentral.